Molecule: long non-coding RNA, 1380 nt
Organism: Acanthopagrus latus (yellowfin seabream)
Lineage: Eukaryota; Metazoa; Chordata; Actinopteri; Spariformes; Sparidae
Exons: 4
Source: RefSeq, a predicted model, not a curated record
GGAAUUCUUCUUCAUUGGUGAUCGUCAGUGUUUGAUUGGCAAACUCGAGCAGUUCUUCACACGACAGCAGAGCGAACUUUCCCUCCGACAGUUGCGUCUGAAACACCAAAUAUUAAUUAAUAACAGUAGAAGUAGGUCACUGAUGAUGCAGUUACACUGUAAAACUACAGACUGAAGGCCAAACAGGUUCAUGACACAGCUGUGUAAUCAGAUUACUCUGGAUGGAUGGUGAUACAGAGAGAGAGAGAGAGACAGAGAGAGAGAGACAGAGAGAGGGAGAGAGAGAGGGAGAGAGGAAGAGGCACUGACAGGAAGUGAAGUCACGCACAACAUCACAGCAACACUUCCUUUCUGGAGUGUCAAAGAAAUCUGAUCAACAGCAUCAACGUUCGUCUCCUUCUUUUUCACCUUCUGAUGAAACUCACCUGUUGGUCUAUGUCACCUUCAUCACCUGUGGGGAGACUGACUUCUGACUGAGGAGUGGAAGCUGUUUGGGGCGUUCCCCUCUCAGCCAAUCACAGUGUGAGGACGCCCUUUUGUGAAGGCUUAAAAGAGGUGGGGGAAGUCACAGGUGGCUCUGACCCUCAUUCUGAAUCUGUCCCCUCAGAUCACCAGACAGAAGCUCUGCUCCGUUUAGGCCCUGCUGUAUUUUAUUGGCUGCUUCACAUCAUUCUAUUGAGGAAACGGUGUUUGUUUUGGAACUCCUUGAAACCCAAAACCUUACAUACACCGAACCCUGACCUGAUGGAGUUGGGCUUGUAGGAGCACCUUUCAUUCUGAUUAUAUCUGAAGUUUAUUGUUUUAUUGUCCAAGUAUCUGAAAUUGAACUCGCCUCCAGAUUUGCAUGUUUUUUAACCUGUUGGUCUACGUCGCCGGCUCAUUGUGUCAUCACAAAAUCAUUUUAAUCUAACAGAGUUGAUCAAUAUUUUACUCUGGAUUAUUCCAACUGAACAGAAAUGAGGAAGGUUAUUGAUCAGUUGAUCGAACAAUCAUCACAACCUCAGUAUGGUUCAAUCAGCUGAUCUACAGAGGCCCUGAAGUGUCACAGUAUCAGCUUCCCUCCAUGGAUCACAACAAAUAAACUACAUUUUCCUUUGGAUUCAGUUUGAAAUGAACUUCUAGCCUCCUCAAAAGUUAUUUUUCUCAGAUUGAAAUGAAGCAAAGUUUUUAAUUGAAUUCUGAAAAUGUGUAAUUUUCUUGAGAGAACAGACAAAAAUAAAUAUCAGAGCAGCUGAAAGUUUAAGAGGAAAUGACUCGAACACAAAGUCACUUUGUUCUGAGUCAAAUUCAGAUUCUGUCAAUUUCUCUGACAAGAAAAUGUUUGUUCUGAUCAAGCUCACAGAUUUUUACCCCUUUAAAAAUAUUACAAAUGUUUUAAUG